CGAGUCGGCCGGGUGAUCGCGGUGGGCCCCACGGGCGCAUCGAGGAAAGUCCGGACUCCACAGGGCAGGGUGGUGGGUAACGCCCACCCGGGGCAACCCGCGGGAAAGUGCCACAGAGAGCAGACCGCCAGGCGUGAUCCUGGCAAGGGUGAAACGGUGGCGUAAGAGACCACCAGCGUGCAGGGUGACCUGUGCGGCUCGGCAAACCCCACCUGGAGCAAGGCCACAUGAACCGGGCAACCGGUUCGAGCAGACGGGCGGCCCGCCUGAUGUCUGCUGGUAGGCCGCAGCAGGCCGUCGGCAACGGCGGUCGCAGAGGGAUGAUCGCCGCCCGCCACGCGGGCACAGAAUCCGGCUUAUAGGCCGACUCGCCCC
This 375-nucleotide RNase P RNA is filed under the name Actinomycetales bacterium. RNAcentral describes it as "RNase P RNA component class A". It matches the Rfam family "Bacterial RNase P class A". From Rfam's summary of the family: Ribonuclease P (RNase P) is a ubiquitous endoribonuclease, found in archaea, bacteria and eukarya as well as chloroplasts and mitochondria. Its best characterised activity is the generation of mature 5'-ends of tRNAs by cleaving the 5'-leader elements of precursor-tRNAs. Lineage: Bacteria; Bacillati; Actinomycetota; Actinomycetes; Actinomycetales. The record is from RNAcentral.